RNAcentral lists this small RNA (292 nucleotides) under Drosophila pseudoobscura pseudoobscura. RNAcentral describes it as "GA32745". The record is from RNAcentral. Lineage: Eukaryota; Metazoa; Arthropoda; Insecta; Diptera; Drosophilidae.
UGCAACGCAAACAAGGUAAAAUCCACCCCAUUUUCUUAAAACACCUUGACCGCACAUACGAAGUGAGAAGAGAACACUUAUCGAUAAGAUAAACGGUCUGACCAUCAGAAAUAGCGCAAAAAUACCGAUGAAAAAACGAGCUUAAUCCACAUCCACCCUGUCAUUUAUCUUUAUUUUUAAAAAUGGCCCCUAUAUCCUUCACCUGAAGUGCGCUAACAUUCUUCAAGUUUCAAUAUUUUCGUGGGAAUAUUUAAGUACCCCCCUGCUCGACAAUGGGUUAAUCGCUCUCUGU